Molecule: non-coding RNA, 29 nt
Filed under: Rattus norvegicus (Norway rat)
Lineage: Eukaryota; Metazoa; Chordata; Mammalia; Rodentia; Muridae
Source: RNAcentral
UGGGAUCCCACAGGUCACUACUUUUCAAA